Molecule: ribosomal RNA, 2547 nt
Filed under: Pyropia haitanensis
Lineage: Eukaryota; Rhodophyta; Bangiophyceae; Bangiales; Bangiaceae
Description: bacterial LSU rRNA
Rfam family: Bacterial large subunit ribosomal RNA
Source: RNAcentral
UAAAAGUUAUCAAAGGAAAUCUUGAUAGAAAAAUAAAGACGUCGCGCGACGAAACAUCAUAGGAAGGCACUUGCUUAUGAACUAUGAGUCUUUUUAAGAAAACUCGCAUUUAAUAUGCUUAAUAACAUUUAUGUGAAUUGAAUCAUCUUAGUAACAUAAUAAAAAAUCAAACGAGAACUUGUAAGUAACGGUGAGUGAACACAAGCUUAGCAAAAUGUUGAAAUCCAGAGAAGGUGUCUCAAGUCCUUUACAGCAUUAAUAAGAAUACAAAGUAGUAUGAUUAACUUUUGUACGAAAAUAGGAGUACCAUCUUCUAAGCUAAAAAAUUUUUCUAAUCGAUAGUGAACGAGUACCGUGAGGGAAAGAUUUAAAUUUGUUAAUUUAUAUUUAUUUGAAGUUGAUGAAUGCAACUACAAAGUGCCUUUUGCAUAAUGAGUCAGUAAGUUAAUAUAUGUAGCAAGCUUGAAAAUAUUUAGGCAUUCUAAGUUACAUGCAUUAGACCCGAAGCCAAGUGAUCUAUUCUUAAACAAGUUGAAGAUGUUUUAAAAUGCAUUGGAGGGCUGAACCCACGUCUGUUGAAAAAUACGGGGACGAUUUAAGAAUAGGGGUGAAAGUCCAAUCAAACUUGGUGAUAGCUGGUUUUCCGCGAAAACUAUCAAAGUAGUACGUUGCUUUUCAAAAAUGUGGGUAGAGCUACUUAUUAAACUUAGAUUUUGCUAAGUUUUAUUAAACUCCAAAUUAUAUUUUUAUUUAGCAGCAGACAGUCAUUAGGCGAUAAGGUUCAAUGUCAAAAGGGAAACAACCCUAAUCGAUGGUUAAGAUCUUAAAAUUAUGAAUUAGUGAAAAAAUGAAAAGUAAUUCGAAUAAACAGAGUAGGCUUAGAAGCAGCCAUCUAUUGGAGAAAGCGUUUUAGCUCAUUAUUUUUACUUAUUUUACUCAUUUAAAAUGUAAGGAGACUUAAAUUCAUAUAUCGAAGCUUCGAAUUAAGUUUAAUUUUUCUUAAUGGUAGCGGAACGUCCUGUAGUCUUUUCUGUUAAUGUUAAAUUGCAUAUUAAAAAUCAGGAGUGCUAAUGCUGACAUGAGUAGCGUCAACCAUGUUGAAAAUAAAUCAUGGUCGUCUAUUGCUCAAGGGUUUCCAGUAAAUUUUAAGUAACUGGGUUUAGUCGGCCCUUAAAAAAAAAGUGAAAACUGUACUUGAUAGGAAAAUUAUUCCGCAUGUUUGCAAAAUAUUUUUGUGUAAAAAAGUACUUUUAAAAGUUUUGCUUAAUAAACUAGCAACUUAAAAAAAGUAUUUUUCAGGAAAAUUUGCAUGAAGUUUGACCGUACUUAGAACCGACACAGGUGAGCUUAUUGAGAAGAUAAAGACGAAUGAGAUAAUUAUACUUAAGGAACUCGGCAAAUUUGCUCCGUACGUUCGCAACAAGGAGUACCUUAAAGGAUUCAAAAAUUAGGGGUAGCGACUGUUUAACAAAAACUCAAAACUUUGCAAAUUCGAAAGAAGACGUAUAAGGUUUGACGCCUGCCCAGUGCUUGAAAGCGAAAAAUACACGUUAACGCUUGUAUCAUAAACUCAAGUAAACGGCGGUCUUAACUAUAAGGAUCCUCAGGUAGCGAAAUUCCUUGGCGGGUAAAUUCCGUCCUGCAUGAAUGGCGUCACGACUACCCCACUGUCUCUAGUAUAAACUCAGCGAAAUUACAUUGUCUGUGAAAAUGCAGACAUCCUACAACAAGACGGAAAGACCCUAUGAUUCUUAACUAUAAUUUUACGUCGCAAUAAUUUUGUGUACAGUACAGUAAAAGUAGGAGUAUACUUAUACAAUUUUGAAAAACUACUCUGUACAUAAGAAAUUGCUUACUGAAGAGAAAAUAUGUAAAAGUGGCGGCUGAAUUGGACCGCUUGACGUUCCGUUAGCUCGUGGAGCAUCUCAGACGAAGCGUCUUUUGGAGUGAAGUAACAGUAAUGGCAUUUGGAUGUGAAUCAGAAUGGAGGUAGGAGGUUAUACAAUACGUGUGAUAUACAGUGGGAGACGGAAAGACCCUAUGAUUCUUAACUAUAAUUUUACGUCGCAAUAAUUUUGUGUACAGUACAGUAAAAGUAGGAGUAUACUUAUACAAUUUUGAAAAACUACUCUGUACAUAAGAAAUUGCUUACUGAAGAGAAAAUAUGUAAAAGUGGUAGUUUACUUGGGACGAGGACCUCCUAAACUGUAACGGAGGUGCACAAAAGUAAAUUUUAAUUAGUUUUUUGUAUUAAUAAAAUAUGUAAUGGUAAAAAUUUGCUUGACGGUAAGAGUUACAACUCAAACCGGGACGAAAGUCGGUCAUAAUGAUCCGGCAGUAAUGUAUGGAAAUACUGUCGCUUAUCGGAAAAAAGAAACUCUAGGGAUAACAGAUUUAUCAUGGCUGAGAGUUCUUAUCGACGCCAUGGUUUGAUACCUCGAUGUCGGCUCAUCUUUUCCUGGAGCUGUAACAGGUUCCAAGGGUAUGGUUGUUCGCCAAAUAAUAAGAUACGUGAGCUGGGUUCAGAACGUCGUGAGACAGUUCGGU